AAUGUAUGACGCCGUUGACUUUGUCCAACGUUUGACCAUUCGUCUUAUUCAAAAAAUUUAUGUAAUUAUCAUUUAUUAUUAUGACUUGAUUCGUCAUCAAAUGUUCUUUAAGUAUGACAUAAAUAUUUUUAUAUUUACACAAAAAAUUUGAAUAAAAUGAAUGGUCAAACGUUUGUCGAAAAGUCAACGGCGUCAUACAUU
This 201-nucleotide microRNA precursor is filed under the name Oryza sativa Indica Group (long-grained rice). Its description in RNAcentral is "MIR812 microRNA precursor family". It matches the Rfam family "MIR812 microRNA precursor family". The record is from Rfam by way of RNAcentral. Lineage: Eukaryota; Viridiplantae; Streptophyta; Magnoliopsida; Poales; Poaceae.